CCUCCAGCCACACUCUCUGUGCACUGUGUACCUCCACGCACUUUGCCGUCAGUUCUUUCAAACUAGUCUAAGGGAAAAUGAUACUUUUGCUUCAGCUGGCUUUACUUACAGCAGCCCUUGGAGGUGUGCAGUCAGAGGUGCAACUGGUCGAGUCUGGAGGGGAUGUGAAAAGGCCGGGAGAGUCCCUCCGCCUCUCCUGCCGGGCCUCCGGCUUCACCUUCAGCAGUUACAGCAUGGACUGGGUGCGCCAGGCUCCAGGGAAGGGUCUCGAAUGGGUUGCCUAUAUAAGCAGCGGUGGGGGCAGCAUAUACUAUGCGGACAAGGUGAAGGGGCGCUUCACCAUCUCCAGAGACAACCCCUCCAACAUGCUGUUCCUGCAAAUGAACCGCCUGAAUGCUGAAGACACGGCCGUGUAUUACUGUGCAACAGACACAGUGGGAGGAAGUGAAUGUGCAGCCGGGCGUAGAGCAAUCGGGAAGAUCCUAGAUUACUCCGGAGCUGUUUUGCUCAAAGGCCAG
Non-coding RNA from Varanus komodoensis (Komodo dragon), 518 nucleotides. Lineage: Eukaryota; Metazoa; Chordata; Lepidosauria; Squamata; Varanidae. The record is from the annotation of a RefSeq genome assembly.